UCCGCCGUGGGGUAAUGGCAGCCCGCCAGCCUUUGAAGCUGUAGGUCCUGGAUCGAGACCAGGCGGCGGAGCCC
RNAcentral lists this transfer RNA (74 nucleotides) under Actinomycetes bacterium. RNAcentral's name for it is "Actinobacteria bacterium tRNA-Gln". It matches the Rfam family "tRNA". From Rfam's summary of the family: Transfer RNA (tRNA) molecules are approximately 80 nucleotides in length. Their secondary structure includes four short double-helical elements and three loops (D, anti-codon, and T loops). Further hydrogen bonds mediate the characteristic L-shaped molecular structure. tRNAs have two regions of fundamental functional importance: the anti-codon, which is responsible for specific mRNA codon recognition, and the 3' end, to which the tRNAs corresponding amino acid is attached (by aminoacyl-tRNA synthetases). tRNAs cope with the degeneracy of the genetic code in two manners: having more than one tRNA (with a specific anti-codon) for a particular amino acid; and 'wobble' base-pairing, i.e. permitting non-standard base-pairing at the 3rd anti-codon position. Lineage: Bacteria; Bacillati; Actinomycetota; Actinomycetes. The record is from RNAcentral.